RNAcentral lists this ribosomal RNA (289 nucleotides) under Bacillus sp. BC1_NA1B1. RNAcentral describes it as "partial 16S ribosomal RNA". It matches the Rfam family "Bacterial small subunit ribosomal RNA", at positions 1077 to 1367 of the family's 1533-position model. Lineage: Bacteria; Bacillati; Bacillota; Bacilli; Caryophanales; Bacillaceae. The record is from RNAcentral.
GGGUUAAGUCCCGCAACGAGCGCAACCCUUGAUCUUAGUUGCCAGCAUUAAGUUGGGCACUCUAAGGUGACUGCCGGUGACAAACCGGAGGAAGGUGGGGAUGACGUCAAAUCAUCAUGCCCCUUAUGACCUGGGCUACACACGUGCUACAAUGGAUGGUACAAAGGGCUGCAAGACCGCGAGGUCAAGCCAAUCCCAUAAAACCAUUCUCAGUUCGGAUUGUAGGCUGCAACUCGCCUACAUGAAGCUGGAAUCGCUAGUAAUCGCGGAUCAGCAUGCCGCGGUGAAU